CACCCGUUACAAUAUCUUUGUGCUCAGUGAGAGAAAAACAACCACCACCACCACCAACUUAAAAAUACAAUAACAUCUAAUAGUUUCCAAUUGUUUUAACUUGCUUUAAACUGGACUUGAAUUACGUGUGGACUAAAAGGACAGUGUAAAUUGGUUGUCCUGAGACAGCAUCGCUGCACUCACAGAGAACACGUGUCUGCCUGCUGGGAUCACACUUAGACAGUGUUAUCAGCAAUGCCAUCUGCAGGAACUGAUGCUCAUGUUCACACCCUGCACUGUGUUUAUGGCCUUUUAAAGACCAUUAAACUUUUGAGAAAGUAAUCUGGCAACUGUUUAGUGUCCUGCUUGAUGUGUAAGUGUAAACUCACCCUUGUAAUUUAAGAGGGGUUACAGAGCAGGUGCAAUUCAGAUGAUUUAACUCGCAUCCAUUUAAUACCUAUAAAUCAGUCCUAGGGUUCUGGAAUAUGAUUAUCACUGAUUGAGUCAGCAAAAGCUUUUAUGAAAGCCUUGGUUGACAUGCUGGUACAGCCUCACACCUGCAGUUCUUAAGAUGUUCCAUUAUGUCAUCCCCAGCCUGAUUUAUUUGAUAGUCUGGGUUAAAAAUUCCUCUUAGCAGUCUCACACCCUUUUUCCUAGAAAAUAAAAUUGAUUCAUUUGCUGAUUUCUUUUCUUUUUUUCUCCUGUGGUUUGGGAUAUUUCAUGACAAUGAAUUGGAAGGGUCAGAGAAGUUUUACCGGAGUAUGCCAUGCACUUUAAAGCUGGGCUUUGCUUUGUACAACGCUCUGGUAUCCAGGUCAGAAAUACUUUGCUAUUUUGUGAGUUCCUGAUUCCAUUCUGAAACAUAAUUUCUACUUCAAUCCUCACUUUGGUUUUGCCCAUUUUCUUUUUUUUUUUUUUCUUUUCUUUUCUUUUUCCUCUCUUUCUCUGGGUCAUGUUAUCCAUUCCAAGGCCAAGAAAAUCCUACUGGCCAACAGCUGUUGUUUAUACACAGAUAAUAGCAGCUGUCAAAUAUUUUCCCAGUUUGGAUCCCUUCCCUGCACCACUAAAUUGUAUUGUGCCAUCAGUGCAGAAGAACCAUUCGUUCUGCCAAGUAUUGUUGGGAUGGAGAAAAAGGCUGGCUAUGUGCACUUUGAUCUCAUCCAGCUGCUUGCCUUGUUCUUUCCCAGGACAAUCCUGAAGACAGUUGCGCCUGUGGUUCAUAUGUCUGCUUGGAUGUGGUAACUGUAUUUGAUACUGAUAAGAAGGCCUGAGCUCCACCAGAAAAAGGCAUCAUCUGCAUAUGUAUGAACUAUGGCAAAGACAAAUCCCAGCAGAAGCAUUUACCUAAGCUUAGCUAAAAGCUGUUUUCUAGAAGUAAACCCCAAAGUUCUUGGACUUUUUACUGUGAAAAAUACAGAUGAAAUAAGUAUUUAGCAUGGCUUCCGACUCUUGCAUGUGGCAAGCAACUCUGAAUCUUGGGUUUUGGUGGGUUCAAAUCUGGUCUGAACUUUUAUAACAAUAACACAUUUAACCUCUUUAAAUACAUUUUAAUUUGUUAAAAUAAUUUUCAGGGGGAAAAAGGACAACAACAGAUCCUAUAAAUUAACAUAUAGGAGGAUGAACUUAAGCCAGACCGCUUAGCUUUGGUCAAGUGCAUCUAUUUCAGUUUGUCAGACCAUCAGACCAAGCGUGGCCAGCCCAGUUGGGUCACAGGCAAAUGCUCAGACAAAGGGCUGCAGUUGCAUCAACCCUUUCUAGUUUCUUGUGUAAGAAAAGCUGAAUGUCACAGCUGUUACAGAGUACAUAAACUGCAGGCCCAGUUUCACCCAAAAGGGGCUAUCAGUACAGCAGUUUAGCUCAGGACAUUUACAAUUUAUAGGAAGAAUAGCAGAAAUCCUUUGCAGGAAAUGAGAAAGUGCCUGAAUGCUAUUGUCCCUGUAUCAGCCAUGCUUCUUACUACUACGCUUGCUUACUUAACGUGCCUUACUCUUUCCUUCACAGACUACUCCAAUUCUAAAUAAUUCCUCCAUAAGUAGCUCAGACACAUGGUCUCAUUUCUGGCAGCCUCCACUGUGCUAAAUUCUCUCUGGUGCCUGGAACAGCUGCUUGUUCCUCCAGCCUGGGCCUUUUAGAUGUAAAUAGUGUAAUCCGACUUCAAGAGGCAAGGAAAUAUUAGCAGAAUUUAAUGUAAAUAUUGUAUAAAUCAUCCCAAAAUAGCAUGGCCACGGGAUGAGCCAAAGACACUAACAGAAAGUUAAACAGACUAAGUAAAUACAGACUAAAUAUAUUCCCCGCCUGGAAUUGCCACUGGAAUGAAUCCAGGCAGGAAAUAGGUUAAAAUGCAGUCUUGUGGCAGUGAUAUUAAAAAGCCAUUGGCCCACUUGGUGACAUUUAUAGUUAAUUUUAUGUACUCCAUACAUUCUUAAUACAUGCUGAGUUAAAUAUUAUCAAAUCUAUAAAAAGAUAUGGAAAAAUGUCUGUUUUCAUAUGGGCAGACACUGCCCGGAACUCUCUCUGUGGGUUUUGUGUAAGAGAAGCGUUUGAAAGAAAGUAUGAAAGGGGAGAGAAAGAAAAAAGAGUCCCCACACCCCAGCUUUUGAAAACUUGCUUGCCCAUUCAGCACCUAGAAGCCACCACACACCAAGACAACAGGAUUUCUAGGACACAAACCACAACGAGGACUAAGGAAUAAAAUACAUUAAUCCAGUCGAUGUGCA
This 2696-nucleotide long non-coding RNA is filed under the name Anas platyrhynchos platyrhynchos (common mallard). RNAcentral describes it as "lncRNA (ENSAPLG00000029904.1)". Lineage: Eukaryota; Metazoa; Chordata; Aves; Anseriformes; Anatidae. The record is from RNAcentral.